This 1183-nucleotide ribosomal RNA is filed under the name Escherichia coli. RNAcentral's name for it is "partial 23S ribosomal RNA". It matches the Rfam family "Bacterial large subunit ribosomal RNA", at positions 1 to 1226 of the family's 2925-position model. The record is from RNAcentral. Lineage: Bacteria; Pseudomonadati; Pseudomonadota; Gammaproteobacteria; Enterobacterales; Enterobacteriaceae.
GGUUAAGCGACUAAGCGUACACGGUGGAUGCCCUGGCAGUCAGAGGCGAUGAAGGACGUGCUAAUCUGCGAUAAGCGUCGGUGAGGUGAUAUGAACCGUUAUAACCGGCGAUUUCCGAAUGGGGAAACCCAGUGUGUUUCGACACACUAUCAUUAACUGAAUCCAUAGGUUAAUGAGGCGAACCGGGGGAACUGAAACAUCUAAGUACCCCGAGGAAAAGAAAUCAACCGAGAUUCCCCCAGUAGCGGCGAGCGAACGGGGAGGAGCCCAGAGCCUGAAUCAGUGUGUGUGUUAGUGGAAGCGUCUGGAAAGGCGCGCGAUACAGGGUGACAGCCCCGUACACAAAAAUGCACAUAUUGUGAGCUCGAUGAGUAGGGCGGGACACGUGGUAUCCUGUCUGAAUAUGGGGGGACCAUCCUCCAAGGCUAAAUACUCCUGACUGACCGAUAGUGAACCAGUACCGUGAGGGAAAGGCGAAAAGAACCCCGGCGAGGGGAGUGAAAAAGAACCUGAAACCGUGUACGUACAAGCAGUGGGAGCCUCUUAAUGGGGUGACUGCGUACCUUUUGUAUAAUGGGUCAGCGACUUAUAUUCUGUAGCAAGGUUAACCGAAUAGGGGAGCCGAAGGGAAACCGAGUCUUAACUGGGCGUUAAGUUGCAGGGUAUAGACCCGAAACCCGGUGAUCUAGCCAUGGGCAGGUUGAAGGUUGGGUAACACUAACUGGAGGACCGAACCGACUAAUGUUGAAAAAUUAGCGGAUGACUUGUGGCUGGGGGUGAAAGGCCAAUCAAACCGGGAGAUAGCUGGUUCUCCCCGAAAGCUAUUUAGGUAGCGCCUCGUGAAUUCAUCUCCGGGGGUAGAGCACUGUUUCGGCAAGGGGGUCAUCCCGACUUACCAACCCGAUGCAAACUGCGAAUACCGGAGAAUGUUAUCACGGGAGACACACGGCGGGUGCUAACGUCCGUCGUGAAGAGGGAAACAACCCAGACCGCCAGCUAAGGUCCCAAAGUCAUGGUUAAGUGGGAAACGAUGUGGGAAGGCCCAGACAGCCAGGAUGUUGGCUUAGAAGCAGCCAUCAUUUAAAGAAAGCGUAAUAGCUCACUGGUCGAGUCGGCCUGCGCGGAAGAUGUAACGGGGCUAAACCAUGCACCGAAGCUGCGGCAGCGACACUAUGUGUUGUUG